UAUGGUCAAGUGAAGAAGCGCAUACGGUGGAUGCCUUGGCAGUCAGAGGCGAUGAAAGACGUGGUAGCCUGCGAAAAGCUUCGGGGAGUCGGCAAACAGACUUUGAUCCGGAGAUGUCUGAAUGGGGGAACCCAGCCAUCAUAAGAUGGUUAUCUUGUACUGAAUACAUAGGUGCAAGAGGCGAACCAGGGGAACUGAAACAUCUAAGUACCCUGAGGAAAAGAAAUCAACCGAGAUUCCCUUAGUAGUGGCGAGCGAACGGGGACUAGCCCUUAAGUGGCUUUGAGAUUAGCGGAACGCUCUGGAAAGUGCGGCCAUAGUGGGUGAUAGCCCUGUACGCGAAAAUCUCUUAGUCAUGAAAUCGAGUAGGACGGAGCACGAGAAACUUUGUCUGAAUAUGGGGGGACCAUCCUCCAAGGCUAAAUACUACUGACUGACCGAUAGUGAACUAGUACCGUGAGGGAAAGGCGAAAAGAACCCCGGAGAGGGGAGUGAAAUAGAUCCUGAAACCGUAUGCGUACAAGCAGUGGGAGCAGACUUUGUUCUGUGACUGCGUACCUUUUGUAUAAUGGGUCAGCGACUUAUUUUCAGUGGCGAGCUUAACCGAAUAGGGGAGGCGUAGCGAAAGCGAGUCUUAAUAGGGCGUCUAGUCGCUGGGAAUAGACCCGAAACCGGGCGAUCUAUCCAUGGGCAGGUUGAAGGUUGGGUAACACUAACUGGAGGACCGAACCGACUACCGUUGAAAAGUUAGCGGAUGACCUGUGGAUCGGAGUGAAAGGCUAAUCAAGCUCGGAGAUAGCUGGUUCUCCUCGAAAGCUAUUUAGGUAGCGCCUCAUGUAUCACUGUAGGGGGUAGAGCACUGUUUCGGCUAGGGGGUCAUCCCGACUUACCAAACCGAUGCAAACUCCGAAUACCUACAAGUGCCGAGCAUGGGAGACACACGGCGGGUGCUAACGUCCGUCGUGAAAAGGGAAACAACCCAGACCGUCAGCUAAGGUCCCAAAGUUAUGGUUAAGUGGGAAACGAUGUGGGAAGGCUUAGACAGCUAGGAGGUUGGCUUAGAAGCAGCCACCCUUUAAAGAAAGCGUAAUAGCUCACUAGUCGAGUCGGCCUGCGCGGAAGAUGUAACGGGGCUCAAACCAUACACCGAAGCUACGGGUAUCACGUAAGUGAUGCGGUAGAGGAGCGUUCUGUAAGCCUGUGAAGGUGAGUUGAGAAGCUUGCUGGAGGUAUCAGAAGUGCGAAUGCUGACAUGAGUAACGACAAUGGGUGUGAAAAACACCCACGCCGAAAGACCAAGGUUUCCUGCGCAACGUUAAUCGACGCAGGGUUAGUCGGUCCCUAAGGCGAGGCUGAAAAGCGUAGUCGAUGGAAAACAGGUUAAUAUUCCUGUACUUCUGGUUAUUGCGAUGGAGGGACGGAGAAGGCUAGGCCAGCUUGGCGUUGGUUGUCCAAGUUUAAGGUGGUAGGCUGAGAUCUUAGGUAAAUCCGGGAUCUUAAGGCCGAGAGCUGAUGACGAGUGUUCUUUUAGAACACGAAGUGGUUGAUGCCAUGCUUCCAAGAAAAGCUUCUAAGCUUCAGGUAACCAGGAACCGUACCCCAAACCGACACAGGUGGUUGGGUAGAGAAUACCAAGGCGCUUGAGAGAACUCGGGUGAAGGAACUAGGCAAAAUGGCACCGUAACUUCGGGAGAAGGUGCGCCGGUGAGGGUGAAGGACUUGCUCCGUAAGCCCAUGCCGGUCGAAGAUACCAGGCCGCUGCGACUGUUUAUUAAAAACACAGCACUCUGCAAACACGAAAGUGGACGUAUAGGGUGUGACGCCUGCCCGGUGCCGGAAGGUUAAUUGAUGGGGUUAGCUAACGCGAAGCUCUUGAUCGAAGCCCCGGUAAACGGCGGCCGUAACUAUAACGGUCCUAAGGUAGCGAAAUUCCUUGUCGGGUAAGUUCCGACCUGCACGAAUGGCGUAACGAUGGCGGCGCUGUCUCCACCCGAGACUCAGUGAAAUUGAAAUCGCUGUGAAGAUGCAGUGUAUCCGCGGCUAGACGGAAAGACCCCGUGAACCUUUACUAUAGCUUUGCACUGGACUUUGAAUUUGCUUGUGUAGGAUAGGUGGGAGGCUUUGAAGCGUGGACGCCAGUCUGCGUGGAGCCAUCCUUGAAAUACCACCCUGGCAACUUUGAGGUUCUAACUCAGGUCCGUUAUCCGGAUCGAGGACAGUGUAUGGUGGGUAGUUUGACUGGGGCGGUCUCCUCCUAAAGAGUAACGGAGGAGUACGAAGGUGCGCUCAGACCGGUCGGAAAUCGGUCGUAGAGUAUAAAGGCAAAAGCGCGCUUGACUGCGAGACAGACACGUCGAGCAGGUACGAAAGUAGGUCUUAGUGAUCCGGUGGUUCUGUAUGGAAGGGCCAUCGCUCAACGGAUAAAAGGUACUCCGGGGAUAACAGGCUGAUACCGCCCAAGAGUUCAUAUCGACGGCGGUGUUUGGCACCUCGAUGUCGGCUCAUCACAUCCUGGGGCUGAAGCCGGUCCCAAGGGUAUGGCUGUUCGCCAUUUAAAGUGGUACGCGAGCUGGGUUUAGAACGUCGUGAGACAGUUCGGUCCCUAUCUGCCGUGGACGUUUGAGAUUUGAGAGGGGCUGCUCCUAGUACGAGAGGACCGGAGUGGACGAACCUCUGGUGUUCCGGUUGUCACGCCAGUGGCAUUGCCGGGUAGCUAUGUUCGGAAUAGAUAACCGCUGAAAGCAUCUAAGCGGGAAACUAGCCUCAAGAUGAGAUCUCACUGGAACCUUGAGUUCCCUGAAGGGCCGUCGAAGACUACGACGUUGAUAGGUUGGGUGUGUAAGCGCUGUGAGGCGUUGAGCUAACCAAUACUAAUUGCCCGUGAGGCUUGACCAUA
This 2896-nucleotide ribosomal RNA is filed under the name Pseudomonas palleroniana. RNAcentral describes it as "bacterial LSU rRNA". It matches the Rfam family "Bacterial large subunit ribosomal RNA". The record is from RNAcentral. Lineage: Bacteria; Pseudomonadati; Pseudomonadota; Gammaproteobacteria; Pseudomonadales; Pseudomonadaceae.